Salvelinus fontinalis (brook trout) is the source of this 1667-nucleotide long non-coding RNA. RefSeq lists it as uncharacterized. The transcript has 2 exons. Lineage: Eukaryota; Metazoa; Chordata; Actinopteri; Salmoniformes; Salmonidae. The record is from RefSeq and is a predicted model, not a curated record.
UUGGAUACAUCCAUCACAAUGAGCUAAUGAGGCGUGAUUUCGCCUGGCAUAGAAAAAUGUGUUCACUCGUCAGGACACUGUUGUUCAGAGGAGCUAGCCAACAACACAGCUAAAACAAUCACUUCAAACUGAAGCUGGAAAGACUGCAAAGUAGUUGCACUUCGUUUCGUUUGACCUUUUUUCAAUUGACAUUUCUCUGUAUAUAUCCCCGGGACGUCUUCCUUCCGUUCCUGAGCAAGAGGAAGAGGUCGGCAUACCUUCAGGUCAGAUGUUUGUCCGCCGCUGUCGUCGUACCUGGAAGAGAGACCGGUCAGCCCUUCUCAAGACCACCUCCAGGUAUCGACGACAAGCGGACCGCCACCGGACCCCGGCACCCUGGUAUCGUCUCGGGCAGAAGAUGGUAGCUGUGUGAACAGGCUGUGGCUCGGGUGGCUGAGGUCCUUGAUGAUCUUCUUGGCUUUCCUGUGACACCGGGUGCUGUAGAUAUCCUGGAAGGCAGGCAGUGUGCCCCCGGUGAUGCGUUGGGGUGACCGCACCACCAUCAGGAGAGCCCUGCCGUUGCGGACAUAUCACUUUCUUCGCAUAAUAGCGAGCUAGAACACUUAUUAAUGCUGAUUUGAAACUAUUACUGCUUCCGGUAUAUACUGAGUGUACAAAACAUUAGGAACACCUUCCUAAUAUUGAGUUGCACACCCUUUUUACCCUCAGAACAGCUUCAAUUCGUCAGGACAUGGACUCUACAAGGUGUCGAAAGGGUUCCACAGGGAUGCUGACCCAUGUUGACUCCAAUGCUUUCAACAGUUGUGUCAAGUUGGCUGGAUGUCCUUUCGGUGGGGAACCAUUAUUGAUACACACGGGAAACUGUUGAGUGUGAAAAACCCAGCAGCAUUGCAGUUCUUGACAUACUCAAACCAGUGCAACUGGCACCUACUGUCGUACCCCAAUUCAAAGGCACUUCAAUCUUUUGUCUUGCCCAUUCACCCUCUGAAUGGCACACAUACACAGUCAAUGUUUCAAUUGUUUCAAUGCUUAGAAAUCCUUCUUUAACCUGUCUCUUCCCCUUCACCUACACUGAUUGAAAUGGAUUUAACAAGUGACAUCCAUAAGGGAUCAUAGCUUUCACCUGGACUCAUCUGGUCAAUCUAUGCCAUGGAAAGAGAAGAUGUUCCUCAUGUUUUGUACACCCAGUAUAAACCUCAUACCCAACUUACACUGAUCAAGAUAUGAUUUUCUAAAUACAGAACAUGUGCUAUCUAUGAUCAAUGUUCCAGAACUCUGACUUUUUGUAUUUGCCAAGACAAACAAAGGCAAAGUUGUUUUUGGCAUGUACCUCAUGUUUCUCAACAGUGUCACCUGAGUGGAGAGAAUAAUAAGUGAUGAAAUAGGUACAGUUAAUCUGAAAGCUAUUGCUGUAAUGUCCAAAGGAAACAGGGCUAACCAUUUGAAUUAGAGCAGAUAUUCACUGCUAGUGACUCAGUGCUCAGGGCAUACAAGUUAGAUGUGUUUAUUUAAAAGGAGCACGGGGAUAUGAAGUACUGACUAAAGUAUCUCUGUGUAAGCACGGUGUGAAUUAGCUUUUUAUUACAUUCUUGCUCAUCCACUCAACAAGUUUUUGCAUAUACCGAACUGUCAUUCCAAUAAAAAUGUUCAGUUAAAACUGAAAUGAA